GCCCUAAUAGCUUAGUAAAAGCAUCGGUCUUGUAAUCCGAAGAUCGGAGGUUAAAAUCCUCCUUAGUGCC
Molecule: transfer RNA, 70 nt
Filed under: Vaillantella maassi
Lineage: Eukaryota; Metazoa; Chordata; Actinopteri; Cypriniformes; Vaillantellidae
Description: tRNA-Thr
Rfam family: tRNA
About the family: Transfer RNA (tRNA) molecules are approximately 80 nucleotides in length. Their secondary structure includes four short double-helical elements and three loops (D, anti-codon, and T loops). Further hydrogen bonds mediate the characteristic L-shaped molecular structure. tRNAs have two regions of fundamental functional importance: the anti-codon, which is responsible for specific mRNA codon recognition, and the 3' end, to which the tRNAs corresponding amino acid is attached (by aminoacyl-tRNA synthetases). tRNAs cope with the degeneracy of the genetic code in two manners: having more than one tRNA (with a specific anti-codon) for a particular amino acid; and 'wobble' base-pairing, i.e. permitting non-standard base-pairing at the 3rd anti-codon position.
Source: RNAcentral